UACGGAGGGGGCUAAUGCUAUUCGGAAUAACUGGGCGUAAAGGGCACGUAGACGGAUUGCUAAGUUAAAAGUGAAAUCCCAUAGCUUAACUAUGGAACUAUUUUUAAAACUAGUAAUCUAGAGAUUGGCAGAGGAUAGUGGAAUUUCUAGUGGAGGAAUGCAAUCCAUAGAUAUUAGAAGGACCCCCUGAAGCGAAGGCGACUAUCUGGGCCAAAACUGACGUUGAGGUGCGAAAGCGUGGGGAGCAAAUGGG
This 253-nucleotide ribosomal RNA is filed under the name uncultured bacterium. RNAcentral describes it as "partial 16S ribosomal RNA". It matches the Rfam family "Bacterial small subunit ribosomal RNA", at positions 524 to 776 of the family's 1533-position model. The record is from RNAcentral.